AAUAUAACAUAAUAUAUUAAAAAUUCUAUGCACCGAAUAAUUGCUUUAAAAAUAAAUUACAUUCUUUUGAUUAAAUGAGAAAUGUGUUAAUGCGCUGCAAUAAUUCAAGCAUAACUUUCGAUCUGUUUGCAUUUUAAUUUAAUUUUAAAAAACAUUUUAAUUUUAAUAAAAUCAAUAUUUUAAAUAAAAUAAUACUUUUUCAAAAUACAAAAUUUUUAAUAAAUUGCAAUGGCAUAUAUGUAUAAUAGCCUCACAUCUAGCUGAUAAAAGUGGAACUUCAUGAAAAAUAUUCUCGAUAUUAUCUUCCGCAGAAUAUCUUUUUUAUAUCAUUAUUUUUUUCUCUUGCACAUAUCCGUCAUUUGAAUAUAUAUUUAUUUGUUACAGAUAUCUAAAUGUUAUUCCAAAUUCGUCCAUCCUUUUUAAAAGCUCCCGUCAUCCGACGUAUCGCAUUUUCAUCACCUUUCGGUAACUUCCAUUUGCCAACGUACAUGCGCUAUCUAAUUACUGCGGUGAUAAAAAAAACCGCUGCACUUUCCUGCCUUCACAGCUACGCUAAUUACAAUCUUCCCGUCUGCCUUGGCAUCAACCUCGAUCCUGCCGGCCGGUGCGCGGUGCACAUUAAGAGCGAUAGUACCUGCGCUCGUUAGUGUAGAAUUAUACAGCAGCUCUUAUAAUGUGUCGCGCGAAGCCACGAGGCGAUUACUGGGAGAAAUCGAGAAAAUAGAGGGAUACCGGGUCGGUGGCAUUCCGGGCGAAUACGACCGGCACUCGCGGUCUCACCCUCAGGAGAAAUCGAUCGUAUCGCUAUCAAUUGCAAAAAGCGAUUAUUCGUCGAGCAACCGAUGCAGAUGAGCAAGGACAGAGAAGGAUCAUUGCCUACCCCUUCACUUCGCAGUUCUUCAAUGAUUAUGCGCGCAAUUCUCGGGUAAACUCCAAAACGGCAGUUUAGAUAUUAAACUACAUAAUCUUUUCUUGUCUUUUUUUUUCUUCUUUUUUUCGUAAUGUGAUACAUAACGAGUGAAGAAAUGAUCGCGUUCUUCUAACUGAGAACUGUGGAAUUGCAGAUGCUCGUUGCGCACGGAGAGCAUGUUGUAAAGUCACGCGGAGCAGGGCUGAGCAGUUUUACAGGCAAUACGACGAAAUCGAUUGUUUCAAAUACCGCACGUGGCUUGAAGAGACAGAUAUAAAGCCGGAAAACCGGAAACCUAUUUUUCUCGCAACGCAUGUCGUCCACAUGCACCGCAAUUCAAAGAAGGGAGGCGGAUAGUUAUAAAAGGAUCAGGGGCAUCGCUACAAAAAAGAUUCAAUAAAAGUAUCCGUAUAUCCAUGGGCGUCCGAAGGGAGGAGGGCAAGACCAAGCAUUUGCCCCCCCCCUGGGAUCAGCAAACAAUUAAAAUUAAUCAUUUUUUCUUCCUUGAAAUAAAGAAAAAAGAUGCUAGAUUGCAGACGUAACGUACGCUUACAUCAUCUACCUUGUUGCGGUGAGGAAGCUUUUACUACCAAAAGGUGUAUAAAUUUUAAAUUAUAAAUAUUUUAAUUCUG
Long non-coding RNA from Ooceraea biroi (clonal raider ant), 1542 nucleotides. RefSeq lists it as uncharacterized. Lineage: Eukaryota; Metazoa; Arthropoda; Insecta; Hymenoptera; Formicidae. The record is from RefSeq and is a predicted model, not a curated record.